UACGUAGGGUGUAAGCGUUGUCCGGAAUUAUUGGGCGUAAAGAGCUCGUAGGCGGUCUGUCGCGUCGGCUGUGAAAACUCGGGGCUCAACCCCGAGCCUGCAGUCGAUACGGGCAGACUAGAGUUCGGUAGGGGAGACUGGAAUUCCUGGUGUAGCGGUGAAAUGCGCAGAUAUCAGGAGGAACACCGGUGGCGAAGGCGGGUCUCUGGGCCGAAACUGACGCUGAGGAGCGAAAGCGUGGGGAGCGAACAGG
This 253-nucleotide ribosomal RNA is filed under the name uncultured bacterium. RNAcentral describes it as "partial 16S ribosomal RNA". It matches the Rfam family "Bacterial small subunit ribosomal RNA", at positions 524 to 776 of the family's 1533-position model. The record is from RNAcentral.